UACGUAGGGUGCAAGCGUUAAUCGGAAUUACUGGGCGUAAAGCGUGCGCAGGCGGCUUUGCAAGACAGAUGUGAAAUCCCCGGGCUUAACCUGGGAACUGCAUUUGUGACUGCAUGGCUGGAGUGUGGCAGAGGGGGAUGGAAUUCCGCGUGUAGCAGUGAAAUGCGUAGAUAUCGUAAGGAAGACCAGUGGCGAAGGCGAGUCUCUGGACAGUUACUGACGCUGAGGCACGAAGGCCAGGGGAGCAAACGGG
RNAcentral lists this ribosomal RNA (253 nucleotides) under uncultured bacterium. Its description in RNAcentral is "partial 16S ribosomal RNA". It matches the Rfam family "Bacterial small subunit ribosomal RNA", at positions 524 to 776 of the family's 1533-position model. The record is from RNAcentral.